RNAcentral lists this small nucleolar RNA (92 nucleotides) under Lachancea fermentati. The record is from RNAcentral. Lineage: Eukaryota; Fungi; Ascomycota; Saccharomycetes; Saccharomycetales; Saccharomycetaceae.
UCUUUAUGAUGAUAACUUACUCAGCUCACUCAGAUCGUAUAUGAUCGAAAACUUUUCCUAUAUCCAACAUUCAUCAAAAAACUGAUUCAAGA